Molecule: ribosomal RNA, 274 nt
Filed under: uncultured bacterium
Lineage: Bacteria
Description: partial 16S ribosomal RNA
Rfam family: Bacterial small subunit ribosomal RNA
Source: RNAcentral
AUACGGGGGGUGCAAGCGUUAAUCGGAAUUACUGGGCGUAAAGCGCGCGUAGGCGGUUUGCUCAGUCGGAUGUGAAAGCCCAGGGCCCAACCUUGGAACUGCAUACGAUACUGGCAAACUAGAGUGUGAGAGAGGAUAGUGGAAUUUCCGGUGUAGCGGUGAAAUGCGUAGAUAUCGGAAGGAACAUCAGUGGCGAAGGCGACUGUCUGGCUCAACACUGACGCUGAGGUGCGAAAGCGUGGGUAGCAAACAGGAUUAGAAACCCUUGUAGUCC